GACGAACGCUGGCGGCGUGCCUAAUACAUGCAAGUCGAACGCAUUUUCUUUCACCGUAGCUUGCUACACCGAAAGAAAAUGAGUGGCGAACGGGUGAGUAACACGUGGGUAACCUGCCCAUCAGCGGGGGAUAACACUUGGAAACAGGUGCUAAUACCGCAUAAUUCCAUUUACCGCAUGGUAAAUGGAUGAAAGGCGCUUUUGCGUCACUGAUGGAUGGACCCGCGGUGCAUUAGCUAGUUGGUGGGGUAACGGCCUACCAAGGCUGCGAUGCAUAGCCGACCUGAGAGGGUGAUCGGCCACACUGGGACUGAGACACGGCCCAGACGCCUACGGGAGGCAGCAGUAGGGAAUCUUCGGCAAUGGACGCAAGUCUGACCGAGCAACGCCGCGUGAGUGAAGAAGGGUUUCGGAUCGUAAAACUCUGUUGUUAGAGAAGAACAAGGAUGAGAGUGGAAAGUUCAUCCCUUGACGGUAUCUAACCAGAAAGCCACGGCUAACUACGUG
Molecule: ribosomal RNA, 507 nt
Filed under: uncultured bacterium
Lineage: Bacteria
Description: partial 16S ribosomal RNA
Rfam family: Bacterial small subunit ribosomal RNA
Source: RNAcentral